This 64-nucleotide microRNA precursor is filed under the name Caenorhabditis briggsae. RNAcentral describes it as "microRNA cbr-mir-7581 precursor". Lineage: Eukaryota; Metazoa; Nematoda; Chromadorea; Rhabditida; Rhabditidae. The record is from miRBase by way of RNAcentral.
UGCCGAUGUCGGCUUGGGUUGUACCAUCUCGAAAUCCGGCUAUAACCAGGUCCACAUCUGCAUU